GGGUGGCUGGCAGGCCCCUGCAAGUUUACUUCGCCUGUUUCCCUUGAAUAAUUAUAAAUUUAAGCUCUAAAAUUAAUAAACUCUAGUUUUUAGCCCUUCUAAAAGUUUUUUCUUAUAAUUUGCCCCCCAAUCCUAAUGCCCUAGCUUCGCUGCCGGCUACGAGAGAGGUUUCGUCGAGGCACUCCUUGACACAGUAACUUUCAGUGUCUGGGCUCAGUACAUGAAGGGCUCAAAAAGACACCACCAUGAUCUUGAUGCUGUAGCUUGAGUAAGGAAAUGGUAAUAGAUACAGAUUGCAGCCAUGGUCCACAAGUCAAAUUAUAGGCCGGUGAUUUCAUCAUUUUACUCGCAUGUUCUUGCUCAGUAGCUGGAGUAAGGAAAUGGUAAUAGAUACAGUGAACUUUGUCAUUGUCUUCAUUUAUUGUUUGACAAAUCUCAAGUUUACUGUAAUUUGCUGCUUAUUCAACGUGCAGUUCUUGUAAUUUGCUUCUUUUUCUUCUUUUUUUUUUUCUUUUCUGCUCUCAGAGUCAUAGAUAUCUGGCCUUGGAUUCUCAAUAAUUUAACUCCUGCCAGCUCUGUGUUCCUUCUGCGGCUGUUUACAAUAAUAGUA
This 610-nucleotide long non-coding RNA is filed under the name Populus tremula. RNAcentral describes it as "long non-coding RNA (PTRE_LNC002117)". The record is from RNAcentral. Lineage: Eukaryota; Viridiplantae; Streptophyta; Magnoliopsida; Malpighiales; Salicaceae.